UCACUUCAGCAGUGCAUAUACUAAAAUUGGAACGAUAGAGAAAAGAAUAGCACAACCCUUGCUCAAGGAUGACCCAGAAAUUCAUGAAGUGUCCCAAAUUUUU
This 103-nucleotide small nuclear RNA is filed under the name Dasypus novemcinctus (nine-banded armadillo). Lineage: Eukaryota; Metazoa; Chordata; Mammalia; Cingulata; Dasypodidae. The record is from RNAcentral.